UCCCAGGAAGCGUCUUGCUCCCUGACUAGGUGACUAGGUCCUGUUCUCAAAAAGCCCAUAUCAUUCUGCUCAGACACCGUAUUUUGUGAUGACUUGCUCUGGAGGAAGACGCCACCAUGGUGUGAGGAUACACCAGCAGCCUUACAGAGAGAUCCGUGCGGCCUCCUGCCAAUAGCCAGCACCAACUCAGCAUGCGUGUCUUAGAAUCAGAGCUGCCAGUCUCGGUUGAGCCCUCAGAUGACUGCAGCCCCAGCUAACAUCUCGACUGCAACCUCAUGAGAGAUCCUGAGCCAGAAGCCCCCCGCUAUGCUGUUUCCAAAUUCCUGACCAACUUGAAAGAGUGUGAGAUAAUACGUGUUUAUUGUGUUCAGCUGCUAAGUUUUGGGGUAAUUCAUUAUGCUGCAAAAGAAAAUUAAUACAGAUUUGAUGAUUACAUGAUUCUCAGCUGACAAGGUGAAACAUACUGUGAGUCUCAGAGAAAGGUCUGAAGACUGGAAUUGAAAGUACACAGCUGCUCAGGCAAACUUGUAUAGGCAUGUGUGUGCUGGGGCUGAAAAUCUCACACUACAACUCAGAUGGAAAAAACCAGCAUCUUAAUUUCUCUUGUACUGUUCUCACCUAGAUCUGAUAAGACCAUUGUUGACAGGCAAAAAAAGAAGAAGAA
Molecule: long non-coding RNA, 664 nt
Organism: Manis pentadactyla (Chinese pangolin)
Lineage: Eukaryota; Metazoa; Chordata; Mammalia; Pholidota; Manidae
Exons: 2
Source: RefSeq, a predicted model, not a curated record